Molecule: ribosomal RNA, 287 nt
Filed under: uncultured bacterium
Lineage: Bacteria
Description: partial 16S ribosomal RNA
Rfam family: Bacterial small subunit ribosomal RNA
Source: RNAcentral
UGCUGCCUACGGGACGCAGCAGUGGGGGAUAUUGCACAAUGGGGGGAACCCUGAUGCAGCGACGCCGCAUGGGUAAAGGAGCGUUUCGGCGCGUAAAGCACCAUCCGCAGGGAAUCAGAUGACGGUCUCUGACCAAGAAGCCCCGGCUAACUACGUGCCAGCAGCCGACGUAAUACCUAGGGGGCAAGCGUUAUCCGGAUUUACUGGGUGUACACGCGGCGCAGACGGCAAUGCAAGCCAGGAGUGAAAGCCCGGGGCCCAACCCCGGGACUGCUCUUGGAACUGCA